CCCUGCAGUAGGAUUUCUUUUGUGGAGCCCCAAACCAAACCUCCUUUCAGGGGCUCGUCCCAGAGAAGGUCAGUCCUGGGAGCGCAGAGAAGAGUCCAGGUACCGUUAUUUUAAAGAUGCAGGAUUGGAGGCUCGGAGAAGGGCUUUGCUCCACAAGAGGCCACACCGCUGUUGGCAGAGCCAGAAAUAGAAACAGCACCUCCAGAUUUAUGUCUAGAGCUCUUUCUACCAUAACGUGCUUCCUAAUCUUCUGAAGAGACUGUGAUUCCCCUUGUGUAUCCUGAUUUUGGCCGAUGGAAUGCAAGAAGCACUCUGUCUGGUGACUUUGGGGAAAGGCUCUGCCACCUGACACCAGGGUGAGGUGACAAGGGGCAGGUUCUGUGGCUCUGGCAUCCUCCAUCCCUCCCAGAUGCUGCCCCGUGAGGAUGUAACAUGAGAAGCCACUGCAGCUGUGACCUUAAAAGGAGACGUUCUGGGCCCCACCAGGACUAAAGAGCAGGAAGGAGGAAGGACCUGGGUUCCAGGCAAGUUUGGGCCUGGAGCAGACAGAUGGCCAGCAACUCCAAAGGCUGCACACGUUAAAAUAUACAUCGGCCAGAAAGAGGCUGAGGUCUUCUGUGACCACAUCCAGUGCCCACGCAGCCCUGGGGCUCAGCCCGCAAGUUGAUUGCAUGAAGGGUCGAAGGCAUCACACGUCCAAGCAACGUGCUUGUCUGCAGGAG
Non-coding RNA from Leptonychotes weddellii (Weddell seal), 722 nucleotides. The record is from RefSeq and is a predicted model, not a curated record. Lineage: Eukaryota; Metazoa; Chordata; Mammalia; Carnivora; Phocidae.